RNAcentral lists this ribosomal RNA (538 nucleotides) under uncultured bacterium. RNAcentral describes it as "bacterial SSU rRNA". It matches the Rfam family "Bacterial small subunit ribosomal RNA", at positions 355 to 896 of the family's 1533-position model. The record is from RNAcentral.
UGAGGAAUAUUGGUCAAUGGGCGAGAGCCUGAACCAGCCAAGUAGCGUGCAGGAUGACGGCCCUAUGGGUUGUAAACUGCUUUUAUGUGGGGAUAAAGUGAGCUACGUGUAGUUUAUUGCAGGUACCACAUGAAUAAGGACCGGCUAAUUCCGUGCCAGCAGCCGCGGUAAUACGGAAGGUCCAGGCGUUAUCCGGAUUUAUUGGGUUUAAAGGGAGCGUAGGCCGUGGAUUAAGCGUGUUGUGAAAUGUAGACGCUCAACGUCUGAAUUGCAGCGCGAACUGGUUCACUUGAGUAUGCACAACGUAGGCGGAAUUCGUCGUGUAGCGGUGAAAUGCUUAGAUAUGACGAAGAACUCCGAUUGCGAAGGCAGCUUACGGGAGCACAACUGACGCUGAAGCUCGAAGGUGCGGGUAUCAAACAGGAUUAGAUACCCUGGUAGUCCGCACAGUACGAUGGAUGCCCGUUGUUAGUUCACUUUAGAAUUAGCGACCAAGCGAAAGCAUUAAGCAUCCCACCUGGGAGUACGCCGGCCGGUG